Brassica napus (rape) is the source of this 1384-nucleotide RNA transcript. RefSeq lists it as uncharacterized. The transcript has 2 exons. NCBI's taxonomy places the organism in Eukaryota, Viridiplantae, Streptophyta, Magnoliopsida, Brassicales, Brassicaceae. The record is from RefSeq and is a predicted model, not a curated record.
UAUGAGCUCCAUACAGCAUGUCCACGUAGGACAAUUAAAUUAACCAAUAGGAGAUUAUAUAUUCGCCACGUCAGACGUUAUUUGAGACAGAAUCUACCGGGUCAAAGCAAUUGGGCUUAUAACAAUUAUAACUGGCCCAUUACACGGUGCUCUCUUCGCGAACGGGAUCAUCACCUCCGAUCUCCUCUUCGAUUUGCUCUUCGUCGAGUCUCUCACCCUCUUCGUCCCCACCGACUCCAUGCUCUUCGAUCUCGACAUGACUCACUCUUCCUACUUCUACGUUUCCACCCUCCACCUCCACUGCAUCCCCCUCCGCCUCCCGUUCUCCGAUCUCCGAUCUCUCCCGAACGCCACCUCUCUCCCGACGCUUCUUCCCUCUCACCACAUCUGACUCACUAGACCUUCUUCUUCCUCCUCCAACGAUUCCAUUUCUCUCGACGGUGUUCCCGUUCUCCUCCCUGGUUUGUUCUCCUCCAACAAGGUAUCGACUGUUUAGCUUCCUUCUUUAUUUAGUUUUAGAUAAUUUUGGUUGUGGAGAUGAUGGAGCCGACUGUUAUUUUGUAUCACUCUUGAAGACAAGGAGGGCAUAAGCAAUCGUAUGGCAUAACUCAUGGGGUCUCAAUACCAGAUUAGAAAUUGUUUAAUCUUAAUGUGAUUUAUUUUGUUUUGACGUUUUUGGUAAUGUUAUUUCCUCUAAUAUCAAAAUUGAGUUCAUGGAACAUAGAUUAGAGUUAUGUUUAUGAGUCAUGGAGAAGACAAAGACUUAGCAUUUCCUCCAAAAGUUGCAAAUCAAGUAGUUGAUCCCAAUUUCCUUUAAAGAUAUUGUCUCAGAAGCAUUUUUGAUGUGUGUGAAACUAUUGAAUCCACCUUGCUUGGGACUUGAAACCGUGCUAAAAUAGGGUUUUACGACAACUUUUAUUGCCAUUGGAAGUAUUCAGAUCGGGGAAUUAGAAGGUGUUCCAAUGGGAGUUGAAAAUGGUCCAAGGGAUUUGGCUAAAAAUUAGGCCAGCCGUGUCUCAUAGUAUGUGUGUAGGCUAACAGUUUCUUAGAUUCUUGGGAGCAGCUGAGAUGGAUUUCAUGAGAGAAGACUUCACUAAAAGAAAAAGGUCGAAGAAACCACUCAAAGCUUCUUGACGAGGAAGAAACUAUUCAAGAGUGCUAAGGAAGAGCCGACUCAUACAUUUAUAUUUGUUCUGAUUUUUUUCUCGAUACAUCAUUCACAUUUCUUAGAAAAAGUUUCUGACUGGACUUUGGAGUAUUGAUGUUUUUAGUCUUAUGUGAUAAAUCUCGAAUGUAGAAACUAUUGUGGUGCCAAACUAUUGUUGAAGAACCUCGGGAUGAUGCUGAUACCAAACGUACUUCAAUUAAUAUAUAGUAUUCUGAA